RNAcentral lists this ribosomal RNA (207 nucleotides) under uncultured bacterium. Its description in RNAcentral is "partial 16S ribosomal RNA". It matches the Rfam family "Bacterial small subunit ribosomal RNA", at positions 568 to 774 of the family's 1533-position model. The record is from RNAcentral.
AAUGUAGGUGGUGAUGCAAGUCAGAUGUGAAAGCCCUGGGCUUAACCCGGGAAUUGCAUUUGAUACUGCGUUGCUUGAGUGCAGGAGAGGUAAGUGGAAUUCCUGGUGUAGGGGUGAAAUCCGUAGAUAUCAGGAGGAAUACCGAUGGCGAAGGCAACUUACUGGCCUGCAACUGACACUGAGAUUCGAAAGCAUGGGUAGCAAACA